GUUUAAUCUCAGAUAAGCACACUACAGAACAAAGAUAUGAGAUAAACACAUGGAAUACAACAUAAAUAAGGCAACAAGGUAAGCUUUUCCCCUAAUUUAUCCACUCUUCAUUUAAUUCAAAAUUAUCACCUACAGAAUUCAAAAGGGAAGAGAAUAUAAUAGGAAAAUACUAGCAUAAAACUAAUUAAAUAAUAAAAAGAAGCAUAAUCAAU
Molecule: unclassified non-coding RNA, 212 nt
Filed under: Hevea brasiliensis (rubber tree)
Lineage: Eukaryota; Viridiplantae; Streptophyta; Magnoliopsida; Malpighiales; Euphorbiaceae
Source: RNAcentral